GGACGAACGCUGGCGGCGUGCCUAAUACAUGCAAGUCGAGCGCGGGAAGCAAGCUGAAGCCUCGGGUGGACGGUUGUGGAACGAGCGGCGGAUGGGUGAGUAACACGUGGGCAACCUGCCUGUAAGAUUGGGAUAACUUGCGGAAACGUGAGCUAAUACCAAAUAAAGCUUUUCAUCCCCUGAUGAGAAGAUGAAAGAUGGCUCCGGCUAUCACUUACAGAUGGGCCCGUGGCGCAUUAGCUAGUUGGUAGGAUAAAAGCUUACCAAGGCAACGGUGCGUAGCCGACCUGAGAGGGUGAUCGGCCACACUGGGACUGAGACACGGCCCAGACUCCUACGGGAGGCAGCAGUAGGGAAUCUUCCGCAAUGGACGCAAGUCUGACGGAAGCAACGCCGCGUGAGUGAUGAAGGUUUUCGGAUCGUAAAACUCUGUUGUUAGGGAAGAACAAGUACCGUUCGAAUAGGUCGGUACCUUGACGGUACCUAACCAGAAAGCCCCGGCUAACUACGUGCCAGCCGCCGC
RNAcentral lists this ribosomal RNA (523 nucleotides) under uncultured bacterium. RNAcentral describes it as "bacterial SSU rRNA". It matches the Rfam family "Bacterial small subunit ribosomal RNA", at positions 27 to 518 of the family's 1533-position model. The record is from RNAcentral.